GACAGAGGUGCCGAGCGUUAGGCGGAAUCACUGGGCUUAAAGCGUGUGUAGGCGGGCGGGCAAGUACCUUGUGAAAUCCCACGGCUCAACCGUGGAACGGCUGGGUAUACUGCCUGUCUUGAGCCAACUAGGGGCGAGCGGAACAGACGGUGGAGCGGUGAAAUGCGUAGAUAUCAGGAGGAACACCGAUGGCGAAGGCAGGUCUCUGGGCUGACACUGACGCUCAUGCACGAAAGCGUGGGGAGCAAACAGG
This 253-nucleotide ribosomal RNA is filed under the name uncultured bacterium. RNAcentral's name for it is "partial 16S ribosomal RNA". It matches the Rfam family "Bacterial small subunit ribosomal RNA", at positions 524 to 776 of the family's 1533-position model. The record is from RNAcentral.